This 265-nucleotide ribosomal RNA is filed under the name uncultured bacterium. RNAcentral describes it as "partial 16S ribosomal RNA". It matches the Rfam family "Bacterial small subunit ribosomal RNA", at positions 793 to 1055 of the family's 1533-position model. The record is from RNAcentral.
GUCCACGCCGUAAACGAUGGGCACUAGGUGCCGGGGGGAGCGACCCCUUCGGUGCCGCAGCUAACGCGAUAAGUGCCCCGCCUGGGGAGUACGGCCGCAAGGCUGAAACUCAAAGGAAUUGACGGGGGCCCGCACAAGCGGUGGAGCAUGUGGUUUAAUUCGAAGCAACGCGAAGAACCUUACCUGGGUUUGACAUGCUGGUGAAAGCUCGAUGAAAGUCGAGCCCUUCUUCGGAACACCAGCACAGGUGCUGCAUGGCUGUCGU